AUUGAACGCUGGCGGCAGGCUUAAUACAUGCAAGUCGAGCGAGUGGCGGACGGGUGAGUAAUGUCUGGGAAACUGCCUGAUGGAGGGGGAUAACUACUGGAAACGGUAGCUAAUACCGCAUACCAUCGGAUGUGCCCAGAUGGGAUUAGCUAGUAGGUGGGGUAAAGGCUCACCUAGGCGACGAUCCCUAGCUGGUCUGAGAGGAGGACCAGCCACACGGGAACUGGGACACGGUCCAGACCCCUACGGGAGGCAGCAGUGGGGAAUAUUGCACAAUGGGCGCAAGCCGGAUGCAGCCAUGCCGCGUGUAUGAGGAAGGCCUUCGGUUUGUAAAGUCCUUUCAUCAGGGAGGCGUUACCCGCAGAAGAAACACCGGCUAACUCCGUGCCAGCCGCCGCGGUAAUUC
Molecule: ribosomal RNA, 406 nt
Filed under: uncultured bacterium
Lineage: Bacteria
Description: partial 16S ribosomal RNA
Rfam family: Bacterial small subunit ribosomal RNA
Source: RNAcentral